Molecule: ribosomal RNA, 303 nt
Filed under: Campylobacter jejuni
Lineage: Bacteria; Pseudomonadati; Campylobacterota; Epsilonproteobacteria; Campylobacterales; Campylobacteraceae
Description: partial 23S ribosomal RNA
Rfam family: Bacterial large subunit ribosomal RNA
Source: RNAcentral
GUGUGGUUAGCUUUGUAUUAGGAUUUACUCCGAAAGCAAGGAAACUUACAACAAAGAGUCCCUCCCGACUGUUUACCAAAAACACAGCACUCUGCUAACUCGUAAGAGGAUGUAUAGGGUGUGACGCCUGCCCGGUGCUCGAAGGUUAAUUGAUGGGGUUAGCAUUAGCGAAGCUCUUGAUCGAAGCCCGAGUAAACGGCGGCCGUAACUAUAACGGUCCUAAGGUAGCGAAAUUCCUUGUCGGUUAAAUACCGACCUGCAUGAAUGGCGUAACGAGAUGGGAGCUGUCUCAAAGAGGGAUCC